Molecule: non-coding RNA, 22 nt
Filed under: Arabidopsis thaliana (thale cress)
Lineage: Eukaryota; Viridiplantae; Streptophyta; Magnoliopsida; Brassicales; Brassicaceae
Source: RNAcentral
UCGCCGCGUGCCGGCCGGGGGA